UCAUCCUCUCUCUUUAACAAAGUUAUUAAUUCCACUUCAGCGUUCCUUCUCCAAUCAAACCGUUAAUGGCUUCGAUCGACGAGGAGCAUGGAAACUGUCACCACUUUUCUUUUCUCAACGGAACUUUUCUGUCAAUUUCCUGAGAAAGGAUCCUUCUCUGCUCCUUAUCCUUCCUUUAGAGGAGCACGUGUUGUGGAGAGCUAAUAAAACUGCACUCAAUUUUACACCCAUGCCAACCUCUUCUGAGACCACGGUGACGACGACGACGACGGUGAAGGUGUGGGGAAUGGAUCAAAAAUGUAUAUUUGCUGAAUGGCAUGGACGAGAGACGAAGAAAGGUAAAAGGAGGACAACCCUUCACCGACAGAAUCACCGAUCUUGAUGCCCUUUGGAUAUGUUGUAG
This is a long non-coding RNA of Folsomia candida, 403 nucleotides long. RefSeq lists it as uncharacterized. The transcript is spliced from 3 exons. The record is from RefSeq and is a predicted model, not a curated record. Lineage: Eukaryota; Metazoa; Arthropoda; Collembola; Entomobryomorpha; Isotomidae.